Long non-coding RNA from Argentina anserina (silverweed cinquefoil), 671 nucleotides. RefSeq lists it as uncharacterized. The record is from RefSeq and is a predicted model, not a curated record. NCBI's taxonomy places the organism in Eukaryota, Viridiplantae, Streptophyta, Magnoliopsida, Rosales, Rosaceae. The transcript is spliced from 3 exons.
CCCAGGUUUGUGCGGAAACUCCAAGCUUCUUCUUCAUGAUGCGUGGGCAGUACGAGUGCCUGUGGAGUGGGUUUUCUUAGACGGUUUAGAGUUUAGACUCUCUCUCUCUCUCUCUCUCUCUCUCUCUCUCUCUCUCUCUCUCUCUUCUCAAGCCUUCAAAAAUGAAGAAAAAAACGAUCAGAUGAAGAUAUUUUCGUGUACAUAGGACUGGGUUAGUAGUUUGGGAUCUCUUUUGUUCCUUUUUAUUUGUUACUAAUCGAUUGGGUUUGGCUCUUGGUGAUCGGAGAUCAAUAUCAAGGACCAUUUUUGGAUUCGUUUCUGGGUCGGCUAACGGUUACAAGAUUAAUGGCAUAGUGAAGAUCCCAACAGAAGAAGAAUGGCAAUUGUGAUCAAGCCACAAGAAGGAAGUACAACAAAAUGAGUUGUUUAGGUCUGAGCUUAUCAUCAUGUAGAGGAGGUAAGAGCAACUGAGAUAAAUUCAAUCUCUGUAAGUUAGCUUAUACUCUUCUUUGCAAUUUCGUAUGUUGAAUAGUUGUUGGAAUAAUGGUACUUGAUGUGGCAUUGUUUGUGUUCGUUUAUUUUGGUUGUAAAGUUUGGAUCUUGAAUAUUCUGGGUUGGAAACUCAUGGAGAAGUUUGAUCAAAAGGGUUUCUUGCUAGACUUUGUAUUGAA